RNAcentral lists this ribosomal RNA (533 nucleotides) under uncultured organism. Its description in RNAcentral is "bacterial SSU rRNA". It matches the Rfam family "Bacterial small subunit ribosomal RNA", at positions 384 to 917 of the family's 1533-position model. The record is from RNAcentral.
UGAACCAGCCAAGUAGCGUGCAGGAUGACGGCCCUAUGGGUUGUAAACUGCUUUUAUAAGGGAAUAAAGUGAGUCUCGUGAGACUUUUUGCAUGUACCUUAUGAAUAAGGACCGGCUAAUUCCGUGCCAGCAGCCGCGGUAAUACGGAAGGUCCGGGCGUUAUCCGGAUUUAUUGGGUUUAAAGGGAGCGUAGGCCGGAGAUUAAGCGUGUUGUGAAAUGUAGACGCUCAACGUCUGCACUGCAGCGCGAACUGGUUUCCUUGAGUACGCACAAAGUGGGCGGAAUUCGUGGUGUAGCGGUGAAAUGCUUAGAUAUCACGAAGAACUCCGAUUGCGAAGGCAGCUCACUGGAGCGCAACUGACGCUGAAGCUCGAAAGUGCGGGUAUCGAACAGGAUUAGAUACCCUGGUAGUCCGCACGGUAAACGAUGGAUGCCCGCUGUUGGUCUGAAUAGGUCAGCGGCCAAGCGAAAGCAUUAAGCAUCCCACCUGGGGAGUACGCCGGCAACGGUGCAACUCAAAGGAAUUGACGGA